AUGGGACUCCUCUCCUUCCUUUCUCCCAGCGCAGGACUCCUCCAUCUAAAAAAAGCACGGGACUCCUCUCUCCUGAUUCGUGUACAAAUCUGCCUCUGCCUGCAUGGCAGCAUUGAUGGUGGGCGGCGAAGAAAGGAUCGAUCAUCUGCAGUAACCACGCCGGCGUUCCCACCUCCCAAACCCUCCUCACGUUCUCAUGUCGCGCACGUCACACUUCAACUGCCUCAGCGGGAUUCCCUGCAGCAGCAAUGCGAGGCUGGAUGGCCUCCAGUGCCAGCGCGCCUUCAUAUCCAUCAAGUCCUCGGACUAUCCCUGCAAGCAAGGCUGCUGGCACAUGGUUUCCGAUGCAAUUUUUUGAAACUACAGACUGAGAGUGGUUUGAUUAAUCUGGUAUUAAUUUGA
This 402-nucleotide ribosomal RNA is filed under the name Triticum aestivum (bread wheat). Its description in RNAcentral is "partial small subunit ribosomal RNA". Lineage: Eukaryota; Viridiplantae; Streptophyta; Magnoliopsida; Poales; Poaceae. The record is from RNAcentral.